Molecule: ribosomal RNA, 327 nt
Filed under: uncultured eukaryote
Lineage: Eukaryota
Description: partial 18S ribosomal RNA
Rfam family: Eukaryotic small subunit ribosomal RNA
Source: RNAcentral
CCCUUAGAUGUUCUGGGCCGCACGCGCGCUACACUGAUGCAUUCAACGAGCCUAUCCUUGACCGACAGGUCCGGGUAAUCUUUGAAUCUGCAUCGUGACGGGGAUAGAUUAUUGCAAUUAUUAAUCUUCAACGAGGAAUGCCUAGUAGGCGCAAGUCAUCAGCUUGCAUUGAUUACGUCCCUGCCCUUUGUACACACCGCCCGUCGCUCCUACCGAUUGAAUGUUCCGAUGAAUACCAUGGACUGAGAGUAUGAAUGGGUUCGCCUAUUUCUGCUUCUCGGGAAGUGGAGUAAAUCUUAACAUUUAGAGGAAGGAGAAGUCGUAACA